UACGGAGGGUGCAAGCGUUAUCCGGAUUCACUGGGUUUAAAGGGUGCGUAGGUGGGUCUGUAAGUCCGUGGUGAAAUCUCCAAGCUUAACUUGGAAACUGCCGUGGAUACUAUCUAUCUUGAAUGUCGUGGAGGUUAGCAGAAUAUGUCAUGUAGCGGUGAAAUGCUUAGAUAUGACAUAGAAUACCCAUUGCGAAGGCAGCUAACUACGCGAUAAUUGACGCUGAUGCACGAAAGCGUGGGGAUCAAACAGG
RNAcentral lists this ribosomal RNA (253 nucleotides) under uncultured bacterium. RNAcentral describes it as "partial 16S ribosomal RNA". It matches the Rfam family "Bacterial small subunit ribosomal RNA", at positions 524 to 776 of the family's 1533-position model. The record is from RNAcentral.